Long non-coding RNA from Rhinolophus ferrumequinum (greater horseshoe bat), 1302 nucleotides. RefSeq lists it as uncharacterized. Lineage: Eukaryota; Metazoa; Chordata; Mammalia; Chiroptera; Rhinolophidae. The transcript is spliced from 3 exons. The record is from RefSeq and is a predicted model, not a curated record.
UCGGCCCGGUUGCCCCAGCUGCGCGGCCCAGUGACCUUGGCUGACCCCUCCCGCAGAACCAGGAGCUCAGACCCAGCUCAGUCAGAUAGAGGCCCAGUGUCCAGGUCUCGCCAGGUGCUGCAUACGCGGGGCGCCCUAAAGGCGGCAGCCGGACGCGCUCGGAGCCCCCAACUACCAAGACCGACCGCUCCCAUUGGCUCCCAGUGACGUCAGAGCCCGCCCCCCGCCCCCAGUUGGACACCAGCCCGAGGCACUGCGGCAGCUAGUCCCCCCUCAGCCUGUGCGUCUCCCCUCGUCCGUGACCUUGAGGAACCUCGGCCUGAAGGCCCUGUUAGCACCCCGCCCCAGACGUCCUCGCAGUGCCUUGGGGACCACGAAGUGGCUGCACGCACCUCCUAAGAAAGGAAGAGGCUGUCUGUGCAGGUCGCACUCCGGUACAGCCACCCAAACAAACAAGACGACCCCACAGGAGUUGCUUUCAGGAUGACAAAACGCUGCAUAUAUCACUCCAGACCUGACCCUGCGCCUGCUGGGACCUUGCCCACAUCUGGUAGGGAAGAAAUGGGAAAAUCUGUGUGCUUCUCCGAACUGUUGGCCCCAUUCCCUGGAGGCUGUGCAGUGGUUGUAGCUGAACAAGGCAGGUUCAGGUCCUGCUAGUCAAAUCCAGGCAUCUAUCAGAACUCUGCCACGUCUUUGCUGUGUGACCUUGGGCAAGUCAGUCAACCUCUCUGAGCCUCCACAUUGAUAAAUGGGAAAACAGCAGUGCCUACUGCACAGGUAGAUGCAAGGAUAACACAUAAUGCUCACAAACCUAUGAGGAAAGAUUAGGAAACCGAAGUGCAGAGAAGUUAAUUUUCCCACUCAGCUAGUAAGCAGUGGAGCUUGCUAGCACCUUAGCACUUUGGGCCUGAGUUCACAUUAAGAGUAGCAAAUGUGUAUUAGAAUAUCUGCCAUAUGUCAGGAUCUAUUUAAAUGCUUCCCACAUGUCACCUCAUUUUGUCUUCUUUAUAGAUGAGGAAAAUGAGGCACAGAGAGGUUCAGGAACCUUCUCAACGUCACACAGCCAGUGAGCAUAGAGCCACACCCAGGUAGUCUGGCUCUGACUCCAUGCUUUAGUAGCCACUAGUCACAGUCAGCCGAAGAUCUGAGUGCCAGGCCUGCGGGCACCAUCCCUGACCCUACAGAAACCUGGGAAGGUCCAAGGUGCCUGUCUCACUGUACAAACGAGGCAGUGAUAUGUGCUGGAGGUCACAUGGCCCAUAAGUGGCAGGGCUAGCACCUGGACCUCUUGUUUUUGUCCUU